This 484-nucleotide ribosomal RNA is filed under the name uncultured bacterium. RNAcentral describes it as "partial 16S ribosomal RNA". It matches the Rfam family "Bacterial small subunit ribosomal RNA", at positions 30 to 507 of the family's 1533-position model. The record is from RNAcentral.
AUUGAACGCUGGCGGCAGGCCUAACACAUGCAAGUCGAGCGGAUGAAGGGAGCUUGCUCCUGGAUUCAGCGGCGGACGGGUGAGUAAUGCCUAGGAAUCUGCCUGGUAGUGGGGGAUAACGUCCGGAAACGGGCGCUAAUACCGCAUCCGUCCUGAGGGAGAAAGUGGGGGUUCUUCGGACCUCACGCUAUCUGAUGAGCCUAGGUCGGAUUAGCUAGUUGGUGGGGUAAAGGCCUACCAAGGCGACGAUCCGUAACUGGUCUGAGAGGAUGAUCAGUCACACUGGAACUGAGACACGGUCCAGACUCCUACGGGAGGCAGCAGUGGGGAAUAUUGGACAAUGGGCGAAAGCCUGAUCCAGCCAUGCCGCGUGUGUGAAGAAGGUCUUCGGAUUGUAAAGCACUUUAAGUUGGGAGGAAGGGCAGUAAGUUAAUACCUUGCUGUUUUGACGUUACCAACAGAAUAAGCACCGGCUAACUUCGUG